RNAcentral lists this unclassified non-coding RNA (312 nucleotides) under Russula sp. RNAcentral's name for it is "partial contains 5.8S ribosomal RNA, internal transcribed spacer 2, and large subunit ribosomal RNA". The stretch from base 1 to 52 matches the Rfam family "5.8S ribosomal RNA", at positions 103 to 154 of the family's 154-position model. Lineage: Eukaryota; Fungi; Basidiomycota; Agaricomycetes; Russulales; Russulaceae. RNAcentral also lists the same sequence under 1 other name. The record is from RNAcentral.
AACGCACCUUGCGCCCUUUGGUAUUCCGAAGGGCAUGCCUGUUUGAGUGUCAUUAAAUUCUCAACUUCAAGAUGCUUUGUUGCAUUUUUUGAAGCUUGGACUUUGGAGGAUUUUUGCCGGCAUCACUGUCAGCUCCUCUUAAAUGCAUUAGCGGAACUUUAUUAAGGACCAGCUUUGGUUUGAUAAUCCUAUCUAUGCCGUCGCUGUGGACUUUGCCUGUUCGGCUUCUAAUGGUCUUCGGACUGUCUCUCCAAUGAGGCAUACACUUUUAAGCUUGACCUCAAAUCAGGUAGGACUACCCGCUGAACUUAA